Acanthopagrus latus (yellowfin seabream) is the source of this 365-nucleotide long non-coding RNA. RefSeq lists it as uncharacterized. The record is from RefSeq and is a predicted model, not a curated record. NCBI's taxonomy places the organism in Eukaryota, Metazoa, Chordata, Actinopteri, Spariformes, Sparidae. The transcript has 3 exons.
CAAACGGCGAAAGCAUGGAUGACCUUUCCCCACUGUACAUUGCAUAAUAUAUAUUGUACUAAUGCCUACAUCUUUGUUGGUUUUAUGCCAUGGAAGACUUCUGGGUCAACGCUCGCCGCGGGGAUCGUGGUACAUGCGCUGAAGUCCGAGGCCGGUGCAGGAGAUGCCGGGAGGAUCUGCUUUGAUGGCGAGCUACAGUUGAAGGAUACCUGGAUCAGAAUCAAACCACUUCACACAAAAUAUGCUACUGCAACAUGUCAGUGCAACAGGGCAGACUCCAUGGAAGAGGACCCGCUCCCUUUCUAAACAUAAAGGGCUCACUAAAAGUUACACCAAUAAAACACAGUCAUGAGUUAUGUAUUAAA